Ostrinia nubilalis (European corn borer) is the source of this 7566-nucleotide long non-coding RNA. RefSeq lists it as uncharacterized. Lineage: Eukaryota; Metazoa; Arthropoda; Insecta; Lepidoptera; Crambidae. The record is from RefSeq and is a predicted model, not a curated record. The transcript is spliced from 2 exons.
UACACAGCGAGCACCUGGCGGGCGCGGGCGAGCGCGCCGACCCGCCGCCGCAGCCGCGCUGAUUGUCGCGCGUCCGCCGCCGCCUCUACCUCACGCCGGAAUAGGUGAGGCACACCACUACUAUACACAGCGAGCACCUGGCGGGCGCGGGCGAGCGCGCCGACCCGCCGCCGCAGCCGCGCUGAUUGUCGCGCGUCCGCCGCCGCCUCUACCUCACGCCGGAAUAGGCCGCCGCGGACGAGCCACAGCCACGCUGCGGACAACGUAGUAUAAGAGUACCAUGACCUCCUAAAUUAUACGCGAGUGAUUCAUUCGGACGGACAGCGGGGCUACUCCGAAAAACGCUAUUCGAAGUUUCGAAUGUUCCAUCCCCCUCACGCAAAGCGAGAUACCAGCAUGAGCGACGGUGACAGACAGACCCGAAACUACGUAAACGGCGUUUCGUAGUUGCCCUGGUACGGACGUGUACUCAGUCUUAAUUAACUGCAAAGGGACAAGGCAAUUUAUUUGUAACACCAUUUAUUUAUUGAUACUUGAAUAUUUGUCAAGAUAAUAACAAUUAGUUUUGUUUAUUUAGUCUACAAUAUCAAUAAGGAGGUCAUUUUGUAUUGAGUAUACUCGCAACUCGAGUAGUAUACAGGAUGAUUAAAUUAGUUAUAUCCAAAUUGAUGGACAUUUCUCGUGUUGUUUGUAACUAGUUCACCCUGUAUAUUAUAGAAGUAGGUUACUUGUGUGUACUUGUUAGAGUUUUAUAAAUCUCCAUGUGCCCCAGUAAUCGUCUAUUUAUAGGUUUUAUAUGUCUUUAUUGUGAAUAGAAUUGGAAUGUUUGUAUAUGUGAAAAAACUUUACCAAAUUGAAAAGGUCGGGAUUCUCUACUCUGGUGGUUUCUAUCGUAGUAUUUUAAAAAUUGCAAGAUUUUAAAAAUUCUUUUUAAAAAACCUGUAUAUUGCAUGGGAGUAACAGAGUUUUCAGACCUUUACAUAAGACCUUAGAGGUGCUAAGAAAAGUAUUAUGAAGUUGGUUCUGAGAAGGGAAGUAAAAUUUAAUUUUAACUAAUCAUAGAUUUUUCCAAUAUAAAGAGAAUUAUGAAGAGAAUUGUUAUUAAUUUGAUCGAGUCUGGAUGUAUGUCUACCUUUCAAGAUAAUGAUACCAUCUAAGUGAAAUUCAUAUCAUUUGACAAUGACAUAUAUUUUACAACACCGUUUUAUUAAACACGCAGUGUACCAUUUCCUUCUCUUGUGUGCUGGUGGAAUAUACUUUAUUUACGUACUGUUGUAUGUAUCAAAUUAUAUUAAAUAAAUAUAUUUUACACUUCAUAUGUAAAUAUGAAUAAUAUCAUUAUAAUUAAACUGAGCAAAUAUUGCAGAUCAUACUUCCAAUAUUGUUGUCGUGAAAACAUAUACAUUUUAUCAUUAUAGAAUACUUGGAAGUGUUAUUAUAUGUAAAAUAAGAAGCCGAUUAGGUUGACGAAAUGAAUUGCAUAGCUUAACACACCUAAUUUCGCUUAAAAUUCAAUGGGAUUACUCCGAAAAACGUUACGCAAAGUUUCGAAUAUUGUCAUCUCUCUCACGCAAAGCGAGAUGCUAGCAUGAGAGACGGUAACAGACUCGAAACUACGUAAUAGCCCUACAGAGCGCCUCCAUUUCGUUCCUGGUUCGCUUCGGUGACCUAAUGGAUAUACAAACUUUUUAUUUGGAUAGCUGAUUUAGGGCUCUGAGAACCUCAUUAAUUUCGAUUUUUAUACAAAAACAGCAGCUUGUAUAAAAAUAACACAACUUUUGUACUUAUGCAUUCGUAAGCUGCCAUCGUCAUGCUGAUUAUGUUUUGGAAUCUAAAUCAAUGUAUAUUUUUCGGAUUUCUGGUGUCGACUAUACAAUAUUAACGUAUACAUAAACGACUGUCGGUGUUGUAUUUGAGUGUAAUUUGUAAUGUAUACCCUCGUGGUGUCUUAACUAUCUCGAAUUAUCUUCUUUAGGACCAUGCUAGUAUCUUUUGGUAUAUUGUAUAUUAACGGAUAGGGUUACAUUCAUUCAAACAUUAAAAGUAGGUAAAGUGUAACCCUCAGAAAGAAUGAAAAAUGUAAUCUACUUUUGUAGUUAACAAAAGAUGCUAUGAACUUUGAUCAGUGAUAUCUUUGAUGUAGGCAACCUGAAGCUAUUAUUGUAUGGCUUGGUUGUACUAGUACUAGUGUGCUUACCAUGAGUUUACGUUUGGUGUGCUCGCUAGCGACUGCGUAAAAAAAUGACAUUAAAUGUAUGACAUAUUGUGCAGCGCCUCUAGCGGCUACUUUCAAGAAAUUAAAUCUUCAUAGAUUUUUUUGACGUAUUCGCUAGCGAGCACACCUAACGUAAACUCAUGGUAAGCACAUAGUAGUAGUGUUGUAGCGUCAUAUCUUGCACUACCUACGGCUACGUACAGAAGGGGGCAGGGAGACAUCUACAUACCUACCUUAAAUAUGUUCUUAAAGUUUAAUGUAUAAGAGUGGGGGACCCUGCCUUAAUUUUGCCCCCAUGGCUCAGACUGUCAAGACAACCCUUGCCUAAGCUGCCCUCUCCCCCCUCUAGCCCAGAAACAAAGGCCAGAAGUGGGCAGCCCCUCUGGCCUAAUAGCUGCACUAUACCGAAUUGAUAUUAUUGAUCAAAGGUAGCUGUUAUCCAAUCAAAAAGAACUCUUAGUGUUAAAGUAUUAUAAAGUGUAAUCGAGUGGGUAUUCAAGUAUUGAUGUCUAUAACGAAAAUAUGUUGUAUUUAUGAGAUUUUUAUUCGUUUUCAAAAUGUCUUGUUGUCUAUAUCGUAUGUAUAGAGUUCUACAUAUCAGAAGGGAAAUUCUUGAAAUAUUUUUUUUGUUUAUCGCAAAAUUUCGUUGUUUAGUAAUUACGUAAUUAUGUGUGGUUUGUAAAAAGGCGUGUAACACGCUCUCGACUAUAAAAAAUAUUUUGUUUUAUAUUUUAUUGGCUACUAUCUAAAAGGUUUACAUUUAUAUUUGCUGUGUUAAGCAUAUUAUAGAAGGGUUCAGUAUGUUCUAAUUGUUAAGUUUAGGUAAAUUAUUGGAUAUUAAAGGGUAUUUAUUGCAUAAAUAUUAUGUGGAUGUUCAGAUUAUUCAUAUGUAUGUAUUAGAGCGUAUUCGUAUGUAGUUUUAAAUAUUGUUGAUGUAAUAGGGAACUAUACUCCUGACUCGGCGCAGAUGGCGCCACUAUGAAACUGUCACGUGACCUUGUUGACGUUGUCACGCCAUCUGUUGAGAAAUCUUAGCAUUUCCCUAUACAUAUUUGUGUGCAUUUUCUACACAUAGUUUAUGCGUUCUAUGUUUUUACUUGAUGUGUUUAGUUUAAUAAUGUGACAAAGGAUAAACAUAUCUAAAAAUGGAAGUACAUUUGACUGGUUACAUUAAAAAUUGCCAAUACUUGCUCCAAAUCUUAGCAUUCCGCUAUUAAGUUGUUUUUAUUUUAAAGUGCCAACUGACAAAUCAUUUAUGUCAUUUCUACUAGCUCAAAAUAGGUAUGUAGAGUCCAUUCUUCAUAGAAUACUAAUUUUUAUACAUAAAGCACUUUCAAUAAAAAAAACUGCCAAUGAUUUUCAUUUUGCCAAUGUCAACUAUAAAGGUGAGCAUAGACUAGCUAGAGCAUUUACUUGUAACAGAACAACGAGCCGCUCCAUGAAAUUUUCUGGUGUCACUUGAAAGUGUCACCAUCUCACAAACCUUGCGUCGUACAUUUUACCUGUAUAGACAAGAACGUUACAUUACAUGGAUAUGCUCUAGUCUCUACUCGCCUUUAGAUAUUGGUCUUCUUUUUUUCUGGCUCUUUUUUUUUCGCGCGGCCAUCGACCAAACCUUGUUUUUUGGUUACAAAAUAGUGUAAUAAACCUAACUUACUAUAACAUGUAUACUUCUAAACUACGAGCAUUAGAAGUUUGAUGAUUUUACAAAAAACAAGGUUUGGUCGAUAGCCGCGCCAAAAAAAAAGACACCACCUUCCAUACAAAAUCUGGCAUUGCCAUUUAUGCUGCUGAGUUAAUUGUCAUUAUUUUACUUCAAUCAUUUAUUUUCUACUGCCGCACAACAUGUAGCUCACACAAAAAUAUCCAUUGCACACAAAUAUGUUUAAACAAUUAUUUUAUUCGUGGACUGUUUUAUGGUAGUCGUAGAAUACAACCAUAACUGCCGUCAGAAUUAUAAACUAUGUAUUUAUUUACUAAGUAAAUUAAUUUGCUUGUAUUUAUUAUUGUUGUUUUAAAAACUCAUUGGUUUCUAUGAUGUCUAUUGCUAGUCUCUUCACCUACAUAAAGUAGGUAUGAAACUGAUUUUACAAUCUCUAAUACUAUCGCUGUAAUGUCUUUUUCAACAGUAAUGGAACAACGGUAAUGGACGGAAAUCUAUUUAAAAUUGGCUAUGUAUCAUUUACAGAUAUAUUUAAUAAUGUAUCGCAACUGAAAUGUUCAAAAGUGUACCUACUGUAUUUGAACUCAGAACCAAUUGGCGCCUGUCACUUGACAGUGACAGGAGCUUCCUUACUAGUGGCGCCAACUGGUGAACAAAUACGAUAAACCUAUUUGUAAGUAUUCGAACUACAGAUAAAAUACAGGGUGACAGGUAAAGCGAUACAUUCCUUGAAAGGGGUUAAAGUAGAGCUUAUUUGCAGUCAUUUAAGUCAUAUGACACCAUGUCCGAAACUUGUUCAUUUCCAAGUUAUUCAAGAUUUAAGUAUUUUUUAAAAAAUCUCCAGUUUUUAUGUUAAAAUGUACCCUUGUAAUGAAGAAUACGGAAUAAUGUUAACUUUUUUGUUGUAUUCGUAUAGCUAAAUAAUAAGAUUGACAUUUUAAAUUAAAAUUUGCAAGAAAGAAUCGUCAUUACUCAAGUAAAAGCUAAAAAACCAUGUAUUAUUUUGCAAAAAAAAUAUGUUUUAGGUAAUUAAACGAAGAAUUUCCAAGAAAAAAUGUAUGGAAUGUUAUGUACAAAUUACAGAAUUUAGUUCCUUGAUUCAUUAGCUAUUCAAAAAGGUACAGGUGUUUAACAAACACUACACAAUUAUUUUUUUAUUUGAAUUUAAACGUCUAGUAAGAUACUUUCAUAAAAAAAUAAAUAAAUAAAAAAGUCACACUAACAACUGUUCUUGGGUCUCAAUAAAUGAAAAACUUAGUAUUUUAAUAAUAAUUGUAUCACCUAAUUUUAUCUAGGUACAUUAUUUUAAGUCCUGCUCAAACUGUGAGCCCCGUCUUCUAAUACAAGCUCGUAGUCUGUUUCUCACUUCUGUUUUUGUGACUCUUGUUGUCAAACUUUGCUGAAUAUCUUGAGCUGCCCUCUGAAUGCGCUCACGAAGCUUUCACACUCACAGCACACUUUCGGCUCAGUGUACGCCAAUGGAUGGAUCAACAAUAUCCACUUCGUUGGAUUGGGCGCGGUGGACCCAUUCCUUGGCCAGCCAGAAGUCCGGAUCUGACCCCUUGCGAUUUUUAUUUAUGGGGUCACAUGAAGUAUCUCUUGUAUGUAACCCCCGUAAACAACGAGCAACAGCUUCGUGAGCGCAUUCAGAGGGCAGCUCAAGAUAUUCAGCAGUUUGACAACAAGAGUCACAAAAACAAAAGUGAGAAACAGACUACGAGCUUGUAUUAGAAGACGGGGCUCACAGUUUGAGCAGGACUUAAAAUAAUGUACCUAGAUAAAAUUAGGUGAUACAAUUAUUAUUAAAAUACUAAGUUUUUCAUUUAUUGAGACCCAAGAACAGUUGUUAGUGUGACUUUUUUAUUUAUUUUUUUUUUAUGAAAGUAUCUUACUAGACGUUUAAAUUCAAAUAAAAAAAUAAUUAUGUAGUGUUUGUUAAACACCUGUACCUUUUUGAAUAGCUAAUGAAUCAAGGAACUAAAUUCUGUAAUUUGUACACAACAUUCCAUACAUUUUUUCUUGGAAAUUCUUCGUUUAAUUACCUAAAACAUAUUUUUUUUGCAAAAUAAUACAUGGUUUUUUAGCUUUUACUUGAGUAAUGACGAUUCUUUCUUGCAAAUUUUAAUUUAAAAUGUCAAUCUUAUUAUUUAGCUAUACGAAUACAACAAAAAAGUUAACAUUAUUCCGUAUUCUUCAUUACAAGGGUACAUUUUAACAUAAAAACUGGAGAUUUUUUAAAAAAUACUUAAAUCUUGAAUAACUUGGAAAUGAACAAGUUUCGGACAUGGUGUCAUAUGACUUAAAUGACUGCAAAUAAGCUCUACUUUAACCCCUUUCAAGGAAUGUAUCGCUUUACCUGUCACCCUGUAUAAUCAUUGUAGUAACUCAAAGGCGUUUGCUUGUGAUCAAAAUGUUAGUUUUAGAGAUUGUAAAUUAUACUUAGAUCCUACUUUGCAGCUUUAUAAUUUUAUUAUAAUGUUAAUCAUUAUCAUUACCUGAUGUCAGAACAAUUUUUGCGCUCCUAGCGUGUUGUAUUUUAUAUUAAUCUAUUUAUAUUUACUAUUUAUACAUGUUAAGUAUAUUAUUGUUUAAAAUUGCAUGCAUUGUAUUUUUGCCCAACUAGUUCAGUAAUGCGAUUUUCAUACAUAAAUGUGAGACAAUAAAGUCUUUAUAGACAUAAUUUUGGGCAGAAUUACAGUGGAUGUGUGCAAUGACUAUUUAUUAUAUUCUAUACAUGUUUUAUGACGAUAGCGAUAAAAAUCCGUUUAUUUAUAAAUCAUAAAACUGACUUAAAACUGUUUUAACUAAACGCGUUUGCGUUUUUUUAUCUUAGUGAAAUCAAUACUUGCCAAAAAGCGACGAAGCAUUUAUGAGAUAAAACGAUGUUAUAUUAUGUUUAAAAGUUCAUGGUCUUAAAAAACGCUAAUUUGCAGGAACCUUCAAAUUUAUGUCGUCAUAAAACUGAAGUAUAGAGCCCUUGCCCCAUAACAAUACGAAGGAAAACAGUUGGCGUAGUCAACUCAUACCCAAUCUUGCUUUAGCUAACUCAGAUUUAAUUAUCAUAUCGAUCGAGAUGAUCGUAUUGUAAUGUUCUGAAUCGCUUGCCUCAACACAAAAUAUCCAUGUUUUUCUCGCUUAUAAAAACGAAUUCUUUCUUUCUUACCGAGCGUCGUACAUUGCCACGACGGCAAAUGCAAACCACCUCUUACGGGACUUAUCCCACCACACUUUCCCACCACUGCCACUCCUGUAUAGCCAGGAUCUACAGCUUGGUCUCGAUUGAAAUCCAACCAGUGAAGGUUUUAAGCUGUGACCAGUGAGGGUUGGAUGAACACCACUUGAACUCAACCCUACAGGGCAAAUAUAUACCAUCCUAGACUGCAUCCUACUUAACAUCAGGUGCGAUCGUGCCUUUUUAUGCAUAAAAAAAACCUGUCGAUUUUCCCCAAUAUAUCCGACUUUAUAACUUUAGUUUAAGGUUCAAAGUUAAUUGAGUUUGCCGAGUGCCAACUGCCUUCGUUCGUGUUGUAAGUUUGUAUGUAUUAUUGUACGUGGUUUAUGUGUUAUGGACAUCGGAACUGAUAUGGGUAUCUAUUGUUGUGAUAUUUGUACACCUAUACCGGCUCUAGCUGCGGGUGGAGAUUUCACUAGACGUGGAUUAAAUAGUUUGUCAUAUUUUAAUGUACAA